CCUACGGGUGGCAGCAGUAGGGAAUAUUGCUCAAUGGGGGAAACCCUGAAGCAGCAACGCCGCGUGGAGGAUGAAGGUUUUCGGAUUGUAAACUCCUUUUGUUAGAGAAGAUAAUGACGGUAUCUAACGAAUAAGCACCGGCUAACUCCGUGCCAGCAGCCGCGGUAAUACGGAGGGUGCAAGCGUUACUCGGAAUCACUGGGCGUAAAGAGCGCGUAGGCGGGAUAGCAAGUCAGAUGUGAAAUCCUAUGGCUUAACCAUAGAACUGCAUUUGAAACUGUUAUUCUAGAGUAUGGGAGAGGUAGGUGGAAUGCUUGGUGUAGGGGUGAAAUGCGUAGAUAUCAAGAGGAAUACUCAUUGCGAAGGCGGCCUGCUAGAACAUAACUGACGCUGAUGCGCGAAAGCGUGGGGAGCAAACAGGAUUAGAUACCCUUGUAGUC
Molecule: ribosomal RNA, 440 nt
Filed under: uncultured bacterium
Lineage: Bacteria
Description: partial 16S ribosomal RNA
Rfam family: Bacterial small subunit ribosomal RNA
Source: RNAcentral